RNAcentral lists this ribosomal RNA (39 nucleotides) under Avian schistosomatid sp. SMS-2010. RNAcentral's name for it is "partial 28S ribosomal RNA". Lineage: Eukaryota; Metazoa; Platyhelminthes; Trematoda; Strigeidida; Schistosomatidae. The record is from RNAcentral.
CCUGACUUCGGAUGAGAUGUGAGUACCGGCGGAACGUCA